Molecule: ribosomal RNA, 163 nt
Filed under: Plantago coronopus
Lineage: Eukaryota; Viridiplantae; Streptophyta; Magnoliopsida; Lamiales; Plantaginaceae
Also listed under: 12 other names
Description: 5.8S ribosomal RNA
Rfam family: 5.8S ribosomal RNA
About the family: 5.8S ribosomal RNA (5.8S rRNA) is a component of the large subunit of the eukaryotic ribosome. It is transcribed by RNA polymerase I as part of the 45S precursor that also contains 18S and 28S rRNA. Functionally, it is thought that 5.8S rRNA may be involved in ribosome translocation.
Source: RNAcentral
UCUAAACGACUCUCGGCAACGGAUAUCUCGGCUCUCGCAUCGAUGAAGAACGUAGCGAAAUGCGAUACUUGGUGUGAAUUGCAGAAUCCCGUGAACCAUCGAAUCUUUGAACGCAAGUUGCGCCCGACGCCUUCGGGCUGAGGGCACGCCUGCCUGGGCGUCA